UUAAGACUUCCGUAGUGGCAUAAAUAUUUUAAACCAUUGAAGCAAUUUGAAUAAUCUUGAUUUGUUCAGACAUUAAAAAAAAAAAAGCAACAGUCAGGAAAACUGUCCUACUCAGAGAAUUCAGACUCAGAACUAACUACAGGGCUAUAACUUUCUUAUGAUUCUACAGUAAAGUGAGAAUCACCCAGGGGUGGCUUGUAUACAGGGACUUCCAGAGCCAACAACAUGAGUUCCUCAAAACCUGAACUAAAGAAUGAAAGUUGCCUCUCCAGUCCUUGUCCUCAGCUGUCCCUCCAACAAAGCACUACAUGCCUGCUUGAAAAGCAAAUACUUUUUUUGUCUUACUGGUGAGGACAACGAAGCUUCCAGAAGUUCAGCCAUCUUGAACAACCCUACAAAAGCAAACCCAAAAAACAAAUAACUGCUAUUGAAAUAUUCUCCAGUGGAGUCAGAGAUGUCUGCCAACUCACUACUCAA
Molecule: long non-coding RNA, 477 nt
Filed under: Crocodylus porosus (Australian saltwater crocodile)
Lineage: Eukaryota; Metazoa; Chordata; Crocodylia; Crocodylidae
Description: lncRNA (ENSCPRG00005002782.1)
Source: RNAcentral